RNAcentral lists this ribosomal RNA (638 nucleotides) under uncultured bacterium. RNAcentral's name for it is "bacterial SSU rRNA". It matches the Rfam family "Bacterial small subunit ribosomal RNA", at positions 558 to 1196 of the family's 1533-position model. The record is from RNAcentral.
GCGUAAGCGUGCGUAGGCGGCUGAUUAAGUCGGAUGUGAAAUCCCUGAGCUUAACUUAGGAAUUGCAUUCGAUACUGGUCAGCUAGAGUAUGGGAGAGGAUGGUAGAAUUCCAGGUGUAGCGGUGAAAUGCGUAGAGAUCUGGAGGAAUACCGAUGGCGAAGGCAGCCAUCUGGCCUAAUACUGACGCUGAGGUACGAAAGCAUGGGGAGCAAACAGGAUUAGAUACCCUGGUAGUCCAUGCCGUAAACGAUGUCUACUAGCCGUUGGGGCCUUUGAGGCUUUAGUGGCGCAGCUAACGCGAUAAGUAGACCGCCUGGGGAGUACGGUCGCAAGACUAAAACUCAAAUGAAUUGACGGGGGCCUGCACAAGCGGUGGAGCAUGUGGUUUAAUUCGAUGCAACGCGAAGAACCUUACCUGGCCUUGACAUACUAGAAACUUUCCAGAGAUGGAUUGGUGCCUUCGGGAAUCUAGAUACAGGUGCUGCAUGGCUGUCGUCAGCUCGUGUCGUGAGAUGUUGGGUUAAGUCCCGCAACGAGCGCAACCCUUUUCCUUAUUUGCCAGCGAGUAAUGUCGGGAACUUUAAGGAUACUGCCAGUGACAAACUGGAGGAAGGCGGGGACGACGUCAAGUCAUCAU